GGUUAAGCGAAUAAGCGUACACGGUGGAUGCCUAGGCAGUCAGAGGCGAUGAAGGACGUGCUAAUCUGCGAUAAGCGCCGGUAAGGUGAUAUGAACCGUUAUAACCGGCGAUUUCCGAAUGGGGAAACCCAGUGCAAUUCGUUGCACUAUCAUUACCUGAAUACAUAGGGUAAUGAAGCGAACCGGGAGAACUGAAACAUCUAAGUACCCCGAGGAAAAGAAAUCAAACGAGAUUCCCCCAGUAGCGGCGAGCGAACGGGGAGCAGCCCAGGACCUUAAUCAGCAUCAGUGUUAAGAGAACAGUCUGGAAAGGCUGGCCACAGCAGGUGAUAGCCCUGUAUCUGAAAGCACUGGUGUUGUGAGUCCGAUGAGUAAGGCGGGACACGUGUUAUCCUGUCUGAAUACGGGGGGACCAUCCUCCAAGGCUAAAUACUCCUGACUGACCGAUAGUGAACCAGUACCGUGAGGGAAAGGCGAAAAGAACCCCGGCGAGGGGAGUGAAAAAGAACCUGAAACCGUGUACGUACAAGCAGUGGGAGCACCCUUCGGGGUGUGACUGCGUACCUUUUGUAUAAUGGGUCAGCGACUUAUAUUCUGUAGCAAGGUUAACCGAAUAGGGGAGCCGCAGGGAAACCGAGUCUUAACUGGGCGAAUUAGUUGCAGGGUAUAGACCCGAAACCCGGUGAUCUAGCCAUGGGCAGGUUGAAGGUUGGGUAACACUAACUGGAGGACCGAACCGACUAAUGUUGAAAAAUUAGCGGAUGACUUGUGGCUGGGGGUGAAAGGCCAAUCAAACCGGGAGAUAGCUGGUUCUCCCCGAAAGCUAUUUAGGUAGCGCCUCGUGAAUUCAUCUCCGGGGGUAGAGCACUGUUUCGGCUAGGGGGUCAUCCCGACUUACCAACCCGAUGCAAACUGCGAAUACCGGAGAAUGUUAUCACGGGAGACACACGGCGGGUGCUAACGUUCGUCGUGAAGAGGGAAACAACCCAGACCGCCGGCUAAGGUCCCAAAGUCAUAAUUAAGUGGGAAACGAAGUGGGAAGGCUCAGACAGCCAGGAUGUUGGCUUAGAAGCAGCCAUCAUUUAAAGAAAGCGUAAUAGCUCACUGGUCGAGUCGGCCUGCGCGGAAGAUGUAACGGGGCUAAAUUAUGCACCGAAGCCGCGGCAGCGAUAUGUAAAUAUUGUUGGGUAGGGGAGCGUUCUGUAAGCCUGUGAAGGUGGCCUGUGAGGGCUGCUGGAGGUAUCAGAAGUGCGAAUGCUGACAUAAGUAACGAUAAUGCGGGUGAAAAACCCGCACGCCGGAAGACCAAGGGUUCCUGUCCAACGUUAAUCGGGGCAGGGUGAGUCGACCCCUAAGGCGAGGCUGAAAAGCGUAGUCGAUGGGCAACGGGUUAAUAUUCCCGUACUGGUGGUAACUGCGAAGGGGGGACGGAGAAAGCUAAAUCAUCCGGGCGACGGUUGUCCCGGUUUAAGCGUGCAGGUGGACUGACCAGGCAAAUCCGGUCGGUUGUUAACACUGAGGCGUGACGACGAGCCACUACGGUGGUGAAGUGAUUGAUGCUCUGCUUCCGGGAAAAGCCUCUAAGCUCCAGGUUACCAUUAAUCGUACCCCAAACCGACACAGGUGGUCAGGUAGAGAAUACUCAGGCGCUUGAGAGAACUCGGGUGAAGGAACUAGGCAAAAUGGUGCCGUAACUUCGGGAGAAGGCACGCUGGCAUUAGGUGAAGUGGUUUACCCAUGGAGCUGAAGCCAGCCGCAGAUACCAGCUGGCUGCAACUGUUUAUUAAAAACACAGCACUGUGCAAACACGAAAGUGGACGUAUACGGUGUGACGCCUGCCCGGUGCCGGAAGGUUAAUUGAUGAGGUUAGCGUAAGCGAAGCUUCUGAUCGAAGCCCCGGUAAACGGCGGCCGUAACUAUAACGGUCCUAAGGUAGCGAAAUUCCUUGUCGGGUAAGUUCCGACCUGCACGAAUGGCGUAAUGAUGGCCAGGCUGUCUCCACCCGAGACUCAGUGAAAUUGAACUCGCUGUGAAGAUGCAGUGUACCCGCGGCAAGACGGAAAGACCCCGUGAACCUUUACUAUAGCUUGACACUGAACAUUGAGCCUUGAUGUGUAGGAUAGGUGGGAGGCAACGAAGUGUGGACGCCAGUCUGCACGGAGCCAUCCUUGAAAUACCACCCUUUAACGUUUGAUGUUCUAACCCGGGUCCAUAAUCUGGAUCGGGGACCGUGUCUGGUGGGUAGUUUGACUGGGGCGGUCUCCUCCCAAAGAGUAACGGAGGAGCACGAAGGUUGGCUAAGCAUGGUCGGACAUCAUGCGGUUAGUGCAAAGGCAUAAGCCAGCUUGACUGCGAGAGUGACGGCUCGAGCAGGUACGAAAGUAGGUCUUAGUGAUCCGGUGGUUCUGAAUGGAAGGGCCAUCGCUCAACGGAUAAAAGGUACUCCGGGGAUAACAGGCUGAUACCGCCCAAGAGUUCAUAUCGACGGCGGUGUUUGGCACCUCGAUGUCGGCUCAUCACAUCCUGGGGCUGAAGUAGGUCCCAAGGGUAUGGCUGUUCGCCAUUUAAAGUGGUACGCGAGCUGGGUUUAGAACGUCGUGAGACAGUUCGGUCCCUAUCUGCCGUGGGCGCUGGAAGAUUGAGAGGGGUUGCUCCUAGUACGAGAGGACCGGAGUGAACGCACCACUGGUGUACGGGUUGUGAUGCCAAUUGCAUUGCCCGGUAGCUAAGUGCGGAAGAGAUAACCGCUGAAAGCAUCUAAGCGGGAAACUUGCCUCGAGAUGAGUCUUCCCUGACCCUUUAAGGGUCCUGAAGGAACGUUUGAGACUAAGACGUUGAUAGGCUGGGUGUGUAAGCGCAGCGAUGCGUUGAGCUGACCAGUACUAAUGAACCGUGAGGCUUAACCUG
This 2907-nucleotide ribosomal RNA is filed under the name Morganella morganii. Its description in RNAcentral is "23S ribosomal RNA". It matches the Rfam family "Bacterial large subunit ribosomal RNA". The record is from RNAcentral. RNAcentral also lists the same sequence under 1 other name. Lineage: Bacteria; Pseudomonadati; Pseudomonadota; Gammaproteobacteria; Enterobacterales; Morganellaceae.